This 520-nucleotide ribosomal RNA is filed under the name uncultured Glomus. RNAcentral's name for it is "SSU rRNA". It matches the Rfam family "Eukaryotic small subunit ribosomal RNA", at positions 569 to 1091 of the family's 1831-position model. Lineage: Eukaryota; Fungi; Glomeromycota; Glomeromycetes; Glomerales; Glomeraceae. The record is from RNAcentral.
AGCAGCCGCGGUAAUUCCAGCUCCAAUAGCGUAUAUUAAAGUUGUUGCAGUUAAAAAGCUCGUAGUUGAAUUUCGGGACCAAUAUGUCUGUCGUGCCUUUGGUACGUACGGGUAUAAUUGGUUUCUACCUUCUGAUGAACCUUGAUGCCAUUAAUUUGGUGUCUUGGGGACUCAGGACUGUUACCUUGAAAAAAUUAGAGUGUUUAAAGCAGGCAUACGCUUGAAUACAUUAGCAUGGAAUAAUGAAAUAGGACGUUCGAUUCUAUUUUGUUGGUUUCUAGGAUCGACGUAAUGAUUAAUAGGGAUAGUUGGGGGCAUUAGUAUUCAAUUGUCAGAGGUGAAAUUCUUGGAUUUAUUGAAGACUAACUACUGCGAAAGCAUUUGCCAAGGAUGUUUUCAUUAAUCAAGAACGAAAGUUAGGGGAUCGAAGACGAUCAGAUACCGUCGUAGUCUUAACCAUAAACUAUGCCGACUAGGGAUCGGAUGAUGUUAAUUUUUAAUGACUCAUUCGGCGCCUUAC